GGGCGGGGAAGGAAACGUGAUGAUUGCGCAAGCGCAGAAAAUGGGCCCUCCUGGCCGUCGGGACUUGCACUGUGGGUGACUCCGUCUCCUCUGACGGUAGAGCCCGUGUGACCCAGAAAGGCCGCCUUGGGACCCAGACCAGGAUUUCUAUCAGCUCCCCUGGCUCACAGGCCUUCUGACUUCUGACUGAAUUACACCAUCUGCUGUCCUGGAUCCAGCUUGCAGAGGACUGCACAUCGUGGGACUUCUUGGCCUCCGUAAUCACUUGAAACAAUGUCCACAAGAGAAAAUAAAAGCAGUCAGAGGAGAAUUCUGACAAACUCUCUAUCUGCACUGCCUAUCCCUUUUUCCUCAGCAUGUUGGUCCAUGGCCUCUGCCUUCCCCCAUCAAGAUGGUAGAGAAUCUCAUGUUCCCAGCAUUUCUCACCACAGACUUCCCCUUUCUCUCCUGCUAGCAAAGGCCACUGCCACUCAGCACUGGGCCCCUUCUCCUCUCGCUUACUCAGUGGCACUGCUGGAGCUACCCUCCCCUCUC
Molecule: non-coding RNA, 534 nt
Organism: Callithrix jacchus (white-tufted-ear marmoset)
Lineage: Eukaryota; Metazoa; Chordata; Mammalia; Primates; Cebidae
Source: RefSeq, a predicted model, not a curated record